This 778-nucleotide non-coding RNA is filed under the name Mesenchytraeus solifugus (glacier ice worm). The record is from RNAcentral. Lineage: Eukaryota; Metazoa; Annelida; Clitellata; Enchytraeida; Enchytraeidae.
AUAGUUUGAUUCUAGCUAUCAUGUUACUUUAUACUAUGCAAGUACAUGAAAAAAAUAUGCACCCUAAUUUCAUAUGUCUAAAAGAUAUUAUACCAUUUUAAAAUUAAUUAAAAAAUGAAGUGCCUCAGUACAUAAUACUAUAACAAUCAAAUAAUGAGUAAUGGUAAUAGUAAAAAGAGCCGGCAAAAUUCGUGCCAGCCGCCGCGGUUAGACGAUAGGCUUUUAAUAACAUUUAAAGGCUAAAUGUAAAAUCAAUGAUGAAUUAAAAAAUUAAUGAGGUUCAAUUCAGACCAUUUUAGUUUCACUGUCAUCAUUAUUAUAAACAUAAAACCAUAAAUAAAAACAAGGAUUAGAUACCCUUCUAUUUAUGUCAUACUUAAAGCCGGAUAAUACGAACAAUAGUUUAAAAUCCAAAGAACUUGGCGGUAUCUUAUAAAAUCAGGGGAACCUGUCACUUAAUUCGAUAAUCCACGAAUAUCAUCACCUUUUUUUGAAUAACCGCCUGUGUACUGCUGUCGUCAGUAAACCUUUAAAAGAUAGUUUACAAUUAUAUAAACCAUAUUCACGUCAAGUCAAAGUGCAGCUAAUAUAAAGGGGUAGAUGGGUUACAAUCUAAAUAAAGAUACGGAAGCAGCCAUAAAUAAUUGCUAAAGGUGGACUUGAUAGUAAUGACCUGCAAUCAUGAAUAUAUAUCUAAGAUAUGCACACAUCGCCCGUCACUCUCGUCUAAAGAUGAGAAAAGUCGUAACAAAGUAGGCAUAACGGAAGUUGUGCCUGU